GGCCUCUCUGUGAAGAACCUCUGAGUGAAAUAAGCCAUAACGGGAGGUUCCUCUGCCCUGGUAUCCGGAGCUUAUACCUGAUACCACAAGGUAAGCAAUAAAAGCUAAGAAUCCUUCUCAGACUAAUGAAGCUGAGCUGCACAGAAGACUCUGCAUCCAGACCAGCUUCCUGGGAGAAGCAGAAACCCAGAGAUGCCUGGAAGAAGGUUAGACCAGAAUCACUUGUAAAGGACACUCUCUGAGCUGCUGAGCUGCUCCAGGUUCCCAGCUUUCCUGAGCUGUCACUCAUGCAGGGGUUGGCCUUGGUGAUGCAGCUGUGUUUGAGUAUUUCCUGCUGCUGUUAGAAAUCCCAAUAAAAGCCAUUGGCUCAACAA
Molecule: long non-coding RNA, 374 nt
Organism: Grammomys surdaster
Lineage: Eukaryota; Metazoa; Chordata; Mammalia; Rodentia; Muridae
Exons: 2
Source: RefSeq, a predicted model, not a curated record